This 227-nucleotide ribosomal RNA is filed under the name uncultured bacterium. RNAcentral describes it as "partial 16S ribosomal RNA". It matches the Rfam family "Bacterial small subunit ribosomal RNA", at positions 524 to 751 of the family's 1533-position model. The record is from RNAcentral.
UACAGAGGUCCCGAGCGUUGUUCGGAUUCACUGGGCGUAAAGGGUGCGUAGGUGGCGUGGUAAGUCUGGUGUGAAAUCCUGGGGCUCAACCCUGGAACUGCAUUGGAUACUGCCUUGCUAGAGAACUGGAGAGGAGACUGGAAUUUACGGUGAGCAGUGAAAUGCGUAGAGAUCGUAAGGAAGACCAGUGGCGAAGGCGAGUCUCUGGACAGUUACUGACACUGAGG